RNAcentral lists this ribosomal RNA (497 nucleotides) under uncultured bacterium. RNAcentral describes it as "partial 16S ribosomal RNA". It matches the Rfam family "Bacterial small subunit ribosomal RNA", at positions 28 to 507 of the family's 1533-position model. The record is from RNAcentral.
GAUGAACGCUGGCGGCGUGCCUAAUACAUGCAAGUCGAGCGAACAGACGAGGAGCUUGCUCCUCUGACGUCAGCGGCGGACGGGUGAGUAACACGUGGAUAACCUACCUAUAAGACUGGGAUAACUUCGGGAAACCGGAGCUAAUACCGGAUAAUAUAUUGAACCGCAUGGUUCAAUAGUGAAAGACGGUUUUGCUGUCACUUAUAGAUGGAUCCGCGCCGCAUUAGCUAGUUGGUAAGGUAACGGCUUACCAAGGCAACGAUGCGUAGCCGACCUGAGAGGGUGAUCGGCCACACUGGAACUGAGACACGGUCCAGACUCCUACGGGAGGCAGCAGUAGGGAAUCUUCCGCAAUGGGCGAAAGCCUGACGGAGCAACGCCGCGUGAGUGAUGAAGGUCUUCGGAUCGUAAAGCUCUGUUAUUAGGGAAGAACAAAUGUGUAAGUAACUAUGCACGUCUUGACGGUACCUAAUCAGAAAGCCACGGCUAACUACGUG